RNAcentral lists this non-coding RNA (240 nucleotides) under Enterococcus italicus. RNAcentral describes it as "T-box sequence". It matches the Rfam family "T-box leader". Rfam says of the family: Uncharged tRNA acts as the effector for transcription antitermination of genes in the T-box leader family. T-boxes are found upstream of many aminoacyl-tRNA synthetase genes and some amino acid biosynthetic genes usually in Gram-positive bacteria. The anticodon of a specific tRNA base pairs to a specifier sequence within the T-box motif, and the NCCA acceptor tail of the tRNA base pairs to a conserved bulge in the T-box antiterminator hairpin. Lineage: Bacteria; Bacillati; Bacillota; Bacilli; Lactobacillales; Enterococcaceae. The record is from RNAcentral.
AAAAAUGCGGUGAAAAGAAGAGUACAAUUUUUUUGGUUUUUAGAGAGUCUCGUUUUGGUGAAAAGAGAUAGCUGAACUAAUUGGAAGAUGGUCUUGAAGCAUUUGGAUGUGAGCACAGCAAGCAUUCAACGGUCGUUGCUCGUUAGCGCAACACAGUAUGAUGGUACUGGUAGAGGUUGAGUUCGUAAGGAUUCGACGAACAAAGGUGGUCACACGAAGCAUAACGCUCUCGUCCUUUUU